This 254-nucleotide ribosomal RNA is filed under the name uncultured Delftia sp. RNAcentral describes it as "partial 16S ribosomal RNA". It matches the Rfam family "Bacterial small subunit ribosomal RNA", at positions 107 to 354 of the family's 1533-position model. Lineage: Bacteria; Pseudomonadati; Pseudomonadota; Betaproteobacteria; Burkholderiales; Comamonadaceae. The record is from RNAcentral.
UAGAGUAAUACAUCGGAACGUGCCCCAGGUACGUGGGGGGAGUAACUACUCGAAAGAAGUAGCUAAUACCGCAUACGAUCUGAGGAUGAAAGCGGGGGACCUUCGGGCCUCGCGCGAUUGGAGCGGCCGAUGGCAGAUUAGGUAGUUGGUGGGAUAAAGCUUACCAAGCCGACGAUCUGUAGCUGGUCUGAGAGGACGAUCAGCCACACUGGGACUGAGACACGGCCCAGACUCCUACACGGGAGGCAGCAGGC